Molecule: RNA transcript, 3061 nt
Organism: Carcharodon carcharias (great white shark)
Lineage: Eukaryota; Metazoa; Chordata; Chondrichthyes; Lamniformes; Lamnidae
Gene: gpr107
Gene name: G protein-coupled receptor 107
Exons: 19
Source: RefSeq, a predicted model, not a curated record
AAAUGGCGGCGUUGAAUGUGUCUGUUGUUCGGAGCUGGACGCUUCUGCUCUGGAUUUUGUUGUCGACGUCGGUGCGGGGCCGAAUCCAUCGCCUGAUCCUGAAGGAUGAUGUUAGGCAAAAGAUCCAUUUAAACACAUUUGGUUUCUUCAAGAAUGGAAAUAUGACUGUGGAAAUGACCAGUUUGACUUCAAAGGGUUUCGACUUCAAAACUGUUGACAACCCUGCGCUGGGGCUCAGUUUGGACAGAACCAAGAAUGAUGGCUUCUCAUCCUAUCUGGAAGAAGAUAUUGAUUUUUGCUUUUUGAAGAAAAAGCCUCCAAUUGAUGUACCUGUCACACUUUUCCUUUUUGACUUUGGAAAACUACAAGUUAGAGUCCUGACAUCUGGCAACAAUCAGCCAAAGGCCACUGAUGUUGGGACUGCAGAAAGCCAACCAGCCAAGGUCAAAAGCAGCAAGACAGAUGUGAAACCAAAGAGUGAACCAGAGAACUUAACAGAACCACAGAAGAAGAAUGAAACCAUGAAGCAGCUUGAAGCGCAGAAAGCAAAGCCAAAAUCUGUGAAACGUGUUGCUGAACCAAAGGCUAAAACUAUUCCACUGAAGGAAAAAAAUGCAUCCUAUUCAUUCACGUUCUCACUUACCAUUAAUACUGAGGAGGAACAGGGACUUUACAGUCUGUACUUCCAUAACUGCUACACCGACAAAAAGCCAUCUCUGCAGUCUUUCCGCUUUGAUAUGGAUAUUACAAUAGUGGAACAGAACCCUGGCAGUUAUUUGUCUGCAGGAGAGAUCCCCCUCCCCAAACUCUACAUCUCCAUGGCUUUCUUCUUCUUCCUGGCUGGAGUUGUCUGGGUUUACAUCCUCCGGAAACGCAGCAACGAUGUGUUUAAGAUCCAUUGGCUGAUGGGGGCGCUUGCAUUCACCAAAUCCCUCUCUCUCGUUUUCCAUGCUAUUGAUUAUCACUUUAUUUCAACUCAGGGUUACCCCAUUGAAGGUUGGGCUGUGGUGUACUACAUAACUCACUUGUUGAAAGGUGCUCUCUUGUUCAUCACGAUAGCAUUGAUAGGAACUGGCUGGGCUUUCGUUAAACACAUUCUUUCAGACAAAGACAAGAAAAUCUUCAUGAUAGUUAUUCCACUCCAGGUCCUUGCUAAUGUCGCUUACAUCAUUAUUGAGUCGACAGAAGAAGGGACGACUGAAUAUGGACUGUGGAAGGAGAUCCUCUUUCUUGUCGACCUCCUGUGUUGUGGUGCCAUCCUGUUCCCUGUGGUGUGGUCAAUUAGACAUUUGCAAGAGGUGUCAGCUAUAGAUGGAAAAGCUGCAGUUAACUUGGCGAAACUGAAGCUUUUCAGACAUUAUUAUGUUAUGAUUGUGUGUUACAUUUAUUUUACACGAAUCAUAGCAAUUCUGAUCAAAAUCAUUGUGCCCUUCCAAUGGAAAUGGCUCUAUCAGUUCCUAGAUGAACUUGCCACACUCAUAUUCUUCUGCUUGACGGGCUACAAGUUCCGACCGGCUUCAGACAAUCCCUAUCUUCAACUACCUCAGAAUGAGGAAGAUGUAGAGAUGGAUGAAGUGGUGACUACAACUGGAAUCAUGGAAGGAAUGAAAAAAGUUAACCAAACAUCGAAUGGCCCCGCAGAGCAGAGAGGAGAACAGGACAGAGUGGCAUGAUGGGCCACCAACAGAGACACGAGUGUAACUUGAGUGCUCUUCCUUCUUCAUUCUGUAUGGAAUAUGCACAGAAAACACUUGAUUCAGGGCUCAAAGAGGACUAAAGAACUCCUUAUCCUCUGCAGUCUGCCCUUCAUCCUACAAUCAACAGAAUUUUAGAACCCAAGUUCUGUGUCACCUGACCUUUACUUAUUGAUUAACCUUGCCUUCUCUCCUGGAGUUUGCAACUGAGAUGAUGAGCUACAACUGUGAGCUGAGGUUACCAUUUUAAAUGCAUCACUCAGUCGGUAAAAUGGGUUUUGAAACCUCUGCAAUCACCUCUUGCAUUUCCUUUUUCUCAAUUAAGGCAUUUUAGUUUAAAAAAAAGGAAUACAGUGAUUUCAUUGGAAAUUUAAGCAUCACUGCAUCAUCUAGUGUAAUGGCUGCUUUGUCUUCUACUUUUGUAUCAGUAUCAGAGAAGCUCUGAUGUUGACGAUUAGUCAGAUAGACUACACAACAGUUUACAGUUCCUUUUUUCACGUUCAUAAUUAUUUCCACCUCUCCAUGGUCAGCAUCCGCUGUCCAGAUUUGCACAUACAAAUCCCUGUCACUUGGACAGGCUACCAAAGAACUGCUGGUAACAAUGGGAUUAUACCCAGCAAGAGUCAGUGUGGUCAGGAGAAGAAUGAAAACAAAAAAUAGGGGAACAAUUUCAAAUAACAAAAAAGGUAGUAUGGAAGGGGUAAUAAAAGGCGAUAGGAAGGGGUCUAAUGGUGGUAACUUUAGAAUGGCUGCUGAGUACAAACAGAGUUUUGUAAAGUGGAAAGAUAGUCAGCUCUCAGAGGGAUGCAGCUGUAAUACAACAUCUUGCUAGUCAAGUACCAAGUUUUUCUCAGGAUGAGAAUGUGCUUUUGCAGAACAGGUCUGGAAAGAGAUUGGAAAAUGGUUUUUUUCAGGGUUCAUCCUGAGCAGCUCUGUAAUGUAGGACUCUGUGUUCUACGGACAGUUGCCGGAAACCAAGAUAAACAUCAACUACUAUUGGAGGGCCAUGAACUUAGCGAAAGACACUCAUUGGUCUACCUGAAACUAGUGGGUCUUUCAGUGCAAAGAGCCAUUGACGACAUAAUGUUUCAAACUAGCACAUUCCAGGGUCCAUGAUUCCAUGCUGAGGGGUGAACUAAAGCUUGGGGCAGCCACCACAAAAGUUCAAUGGGGAAAGCCCACUGGCUAAGGCACUCCCACCAUUGUAUACUGGUUUGGGGGUGGGUGGUGGUAAAAUCCCUUUGGCUGUAUGCACCAGAGAAUGUAUGACAUGAAAUACUGUAUUAAAAAUAAUGAUCUGUAUUACACUUUAUGUAAUGUCAAAUUUGAAUUGUUAUGUAAUGUACCUUUACAAAUUUUGUGUAUAA